Molecule: ribosomal RNA, 203 nt
Filed under: uncultured bacterium
Lineage: Bacteria
Description: partial 16S ribosomal RNA
Rfam family: Bacterial small subunit ribosomal RNA
Source: RNAcentral
UGCGUAGGCGGCCUGGUAAGUCUGGCGUGAAAGCCCAGGGCUCAGCCCUGGAAGUGCGCUAGAAACUGCGAGGCUCGAGUGCCGGAGGGGAGAGUGGAAUUCCUGGUGUAGCGGUGAAAUGCGUAGAUAUCAGGAGGAAUACCGGUGGCGAAAGCGACUCUCUGGACGGCAACUGACGCUGAGGCAAAGCUGGGGAGCAAACA